This 235-nucleotide ribosomal RNA is filed under the name uncultured Actinomycetales bacterium. Its description in RNAcentral is "partial 16S ribosomal RNA". It matches the Rfam family "Bacterial small subunit ribosomal RNA", at positions 97 to 334 of the family's 1533-position model. Lineage: Bacteria; Bacillati; Actinomycetota; Actinomycetes; Actinomycetales. The record is from RNAcentral.
GGCGAACGGGUGAGUAACACGUGGGUAAUCUGCCCUGCACUCUGGGAUAAGCCUGGGAAACUGGGUCUAAUACUGGAUAUGACCUUUCUCCUUAUGGGGUUUGGUGGAAAGUUUUUCGGUGUAGGAUGAGCCCGCGGCCUAUCAGCUUGUUGGUGGGGUGAUGGCCUACCAAGGCGACGACGGGUAGCCGGCCUGAGAGGGCGAUCGGCCACACUGGGACUGAGACACGGCCCAG